UGUCCUUUUGGUUCAUCUUAUUUGUUUAUUCGGCUUCGUUAUUAUUCCCCCUCCACUACUCAUUUUUUGGAGCUCUUUGCUGUAAAGAAAAACAAAAUUUCUUUUUUACUUCAAAAAGAGUCCAAAAAGGGAGGAAGCUAUCACUUA
Molecule: non-coding RNA, 147 nt
Organism: Mus musculus (house mouse)
Lineage: Eukaryota; Metazoa; Chordata; Mammalia; Rodentia; Muridae
Source: Rfam